GUGUCGUGUCAUUAGUGACCAACACUUCUCAGCAUUGUACCAUCACUACCAUGGUCAUUUUUCUUUUUUUAUCAUAAAUAUUAUAUAUUUUAAAGUCAAGUUAUUAAAUAACAAAGAGGUACUCUUAUUGAACAUAUUUUUAAAUAGGGUGUAGUGUUUGUGUUCAACACAUGUCGUGUCAUUAAAUACCAACACUUCUUGACGUUGUACCAUGG
RNAcentral lists this long non-coding RNA (215 nucleotides) under Olea europaea (common olive). RNAcentral's name for it is "long non-coding RNA (OEUR_LNC011242)". Lineage: Eukaryota; Viridiplantae; Streptophyta; Magnoliopsida; Lamiales; Oleaceae. The record is from RNAcentral.